This is a long non-coding RNA of Mytilus californianus (California mussel), 1441 nucleotides long. RefSeq lists it as uncharacterized. The transcript has 3 exons. Lineage: Eukaryota; Metazoa; Mollusca; Bivalvia; Mytilida; Mytilidae. The record is from RefSeq and is a predicted model, not a curated record.
GGUCAUGUAACUAUUACAAAACCCAAGUAUAAGGAAGUAUUUAUUCUUCGCGCUUCUUUACUAUUUUUAACUUAUUUAAAUAAUAUAAAUAUCUACUGAACAAGCUCGUUCAGGUCUUUAAAUAAUUUUGUGUGGACGCAAUCAACAUCGGACAAUGGGGUUAUUUGAAGGAAUUUCGAAAUUCGCUCUUAUAUCAGCAAUUUUGACUGCUGUUGGAUUUCUUGUACAUUUGAUCGGUUAUGGAGCACCAUACUGGGUAAAAAGUGGUACUUUUAAUAUUGGACUUUGGAAAUAUUGUUUUAAAAGCGAGUGUAUUGACAUCGUUAGCGAUAAAUUUACAAUUGAAGGAUGGUUGGAGGCAGUCCAAGCCUUCGAGACACUUGCCUUUCUAGCCAUACUUGCAACGAUAGUGGUUAUGGGACUAAAAUUUACAGUCAUGAAAGAGCAGAAGAUAUUGCCAAUUGUCAUCUUAAUAUUUCAGUCUGCUUCAGUUGGUCUAAUCCUUCUAGGUGUGAUCAUAUAUGGUGCCAAAAGUACUAUAACUAGCUAUGGAUUCGCGUUUGUUUUUGUGAUAAUAGCUUCGAUCAUUAUUCUCGUCGCUGGAGUCUUCAGUUUCUUGGAUUGGAGAGGCGCUUCUUCACCUGCAUAAACAGAAGUACAAUCGAAACAAGCAUCAUUAAUAUUACUACUGGACUUCCGUGUAAAUUGUUAUUGAGCUUCCGAGUACUAGUAUAUUAUUAUAAAAAUAAUAGGCUUUAGAUAUUAAUCCUGCUAUUACAAACUAGGUUGGGUGUAAAAGAUAGAAAUAUUCACCCACUAACCAUGUAUGUUUGCUAGGAAUAUUAUACAAUUACUGUCUUUUGAUGAGGUUAAUAUGCGGUUUUAUUGACUUUUGAAAAAAACUGAUAUUCACUGAGGCCGACGGCCGAAGUGAAUAUCAGUUUUUCAAAAGUCAAUUAAACCACAUGUUUACCGAAACAAAAGACAAUAAUUGUUUUAUUCCAUAUUCAAAAUCAAAUUCAUAUAGAGAAACCUACUUAUAUUAUACCAAUAUGGAAUAAUCAAAAUUAGUGUCGCUUUACAAGCACGGUGAACAAUAGGACUGUAUUUAACAUUACUUAUUCUGUAGUGUGAGGCUACAGUCCUGCAAGAGAGUUGUCUUUAAACAAAUAUAUUUUUUUUCCUUUUGUUAUUUUAUCAUUGAAGAGAACCACAAUCUUUGCAUAUUUUGAAAAACGUAUUUUUUUAUUGGCAGUGAAUUUAAAUUUAAGAGCCACGAAAGCUCGUAGAAGAAAGAAUUUUGAUUUUCCUUCAUGCCGAUUGAAUCAAUGUCCACAGAACUGAUGAAGCGAAACUUUCUCUUUGAUACAAUCAUUAAAAUACUAACAACUUUAACAUCAGUCAGUCAUAUUUUUAUGUAUAUAAAAAAUUAUGAAACAUG